Molecule: ribosomal RNA, 253 nt
Filed under: uncultured bacterium
Lineage: Bacteria
Description: partial 16S ribosomal RNA
Rfam family: Bacterial small subunit ribosomal RNA
Source: RNAcentral
UACGGGGGGAGCAAGCGUUGUUCGGAUUUACUGGGCGUAAAGGGCUCGUAGGUGGCCAACUAAGUCAGACGUGAAAUCCUCAGGCUUAACCUGGGAACUGCGUCUGAUACUGGAUGGCUUGAAUUCGGGAGAGGGAUGCAGAAUUCCAGGUGUAGCGGUGAAAUGCGUAGAUAUCUGGAGGAAUACCGGUGGCGAAGGCGGCAUCCUGGACCGAGAUUGACGCUGAUGAGCGAAAGCUAGGGGAGCAAACGGG